GGUCCGGUAGCUCAGUUGGUAGAGUAAAUAGAAUUGUGAUAACAUUUCCUCUAUUGCAGAAGGCCAAUUACCACAUACUACCUAUUGUGUCGUCGGUUCGACUCCGACCCGGACCC
RNAcentral lists this transfer RNA (116 nucleotides) under Prevotella sp. RNAcentral describes it as "tRNA-OTHER". It matches the Rfam family "tRNA". From Rfam's summary of the family: Transfer RNA (tRNA) molecules are approximately 80 nucleotides in length. Their secondary structure includes four short double-helical elements and three loops (D, anti-codon, and T loops). Further hydrogen bonds mediate the characteristic L-shaped molecular structure. tRNAs have two regions of fundamental functional importance: the anti-codon, which is responsible for specific mRNA codon recognition, and the 3' end, to which the tRNAs corresponding amino acid is attached (by aminoacyl-tRNA synthetases). tRNAs cope with the degeneracy of the genetic code in two manners: having more than one tRNA (with a specific anti-codon) for a particular amino acid; and 'wobble' base-pairing, i.e. permitting non-standard base-pairing at the 3rd anti-codon position. RNAcentral also lists the same sequence under 1 other name. The record is from RNAcentral. Lineage: Bacteria; Pseudomonadati; Bacteroidota; Bacteroidia; Bacteroidales; Prevotellaceae.